ACGCUCGACACCUACGGGGGCAGCAGUGGGGAAUAUUGCACAAUGGGGGAAACCCUGAUGCAGCGACGCCGCGUGAGUGAAGAAGUAUUUCGGUAUGUAAAGCUCUAUCAGCAGGGAAGAAAAUGACGGUACCUGAGUAAGAAGCCCCGGCUAACUACGUGCAAGCAGCCGCGGUAAUCUGAGCGGGCUGGCAAGGC
RNAcentral lists this ribosomal RNA (197 nucleotides) under uncultured bacterium. Its description in RNAcentral is "partial 16S ribosomal RNA". It matches the Rfam family "Bacterial small subunit ribosomal RNA", at positions 328 to 539 of the family's 1533-position model. The record is from RNAcentral.